UUUCCAAAUAGGGAGGAAAAGAAACCAACAGGGAUUGCCUCAGUAACGGCGAGUGAAGCGGCAAAAGCUCAAAUUUGAAAUCUAGCACCUUCGGUGUUCGAGUUGUAAUUUGAAGAUGGUAACCUUGGGUUUGGCUCUUGUCUAUGUUCCUUGGAACAGGACGUCAUAGAGGGUGAGAAUCCCGUCUGAUGAGAUGCCCAUUCCUAUGUAAGGUGCUAUCGAAGAGUCGAGUUGUUUGGGAAUGCAGCUCUAAGUGGGUGGUAAAUUCCAUCUAAAGCUAAAUAUUGGCGAGAGACCGAUAGCGAACAAGUACAGUGAUGGAAAGAUGAAAAGAACUUUGAAAAGAGAGUGAAAAAGUACGUGAAAUUGUUGAAAGGGAAGGGCAUUAGAUCAGACUUGGUGUUUUACGAUUAUCUUCUCUUCUUGAGUUGUGCACUCGUAUUUCACUGGGCCAGCAUCGAUUCGGAUGGCAAGAUAAUGGCAGUUGAAUGUGGCUUCACUUCGGUGGAGUGUUAUAGCUUCUGCUGAUAUUGCCUGUCUGGAUCGAGGGCUGCGUCUUUUGACUAGGAUGCUGGCGUAAUGAUCUAAUGCCGCCCGUUUAAAAACCAGGGGC
This 613-nucleotide ribosomal RNA is filed under the name Hansenula anomala. Its description in RNAcentral is "Wickerhamomyces anomalus partial large subunit ribosomal RNA". It matches the Rfam family "Eukaryotic large subunit ribosomal RNA", at positions 41 to 666 of the family's 3401-position model. The record is from RNAcentral. Lineage: Eukaryota; Fungi; Ascomycota; Saccharomycetes; Phaffomycetales; Wickerhamomycetaceae.